UGAGGAAUAUUGGUCAAUGGGCGAGAGCCUGAACCAGCCAAGUCGCGUGAAGGAAGACGGUCCUAUGGAUUGUAAACUUCUUUAGUAGGUGAGUACAAGCAGUUACGUGUAGCUGUAAGCAAGUAACCUAAGAAUAAGUAUCGGCUAACUCCGUGCCAGCAGCCGCGGUAAUACGGAGGAUACGAGCGUUAUCCGGAUUUAUUGGGUUUAAAGGGUGCGUAGGUGGCUUCAUAAGUCAGUGGUGAAAAGCUGUGGCUCAACCAUAGUCUUGCCGUUGAAACUGUGGAGCUUGAGUGCGGAUGAGGUAGGCGGAACGCGUAGUGUAGCGGUGAAAUGCAUAGAUAUUACGCAGAACUCCGAUUGCGAAGGCAGCUUACCAAACCGCAACUGACACUGAAGCACGAAAGCGUGGGUAUCAAACAG
RNAcentral lists this ribosomal RNA (423 nucleotides) under uncultured bacterium. Its description in RNAcentral is "bacterial SSU rRNA". It matches the Rfam family "Bacterial small subunit ribosomal RNA", at positions 355 to 775 of the family's 1533-position model. The record is from RNAcentral.